AUGUGACUGCAGGACAUGUGAUCAUCGACCUUUUGAACGCAUAAUGCAGGACAGCAGUUCUACUGUCUGUCCUAUGUUUUGCUCAGGGUCGUUUAACAUCCAUCUAUUCAAUUUAUUGAAUAGCAUUGAGGUUUUGCAAUUGCUUGCCACUUGCAUGCCUUUAAGUUGCAACUGCCUGUUAAACCAGAGGCUCUAGUGACUCUUGGGAUUCGUCCUGGGUUGCUUUGCUGAUGGUUGGGUAGAGGUGAGCUCUUUCUCUUGAGAGCUUACCAGCCACUUUAAACU
RNAcentral lists this unclassified non-coding RNA (285 nucleotides) under Corycaeus sp. 2012JH196. Its description in RNAcentral is "partial ITS2". The record is from RNAcentral. Lineage: Eukaryota; Metazoa; Arthropoda; Copepoda; Poecilostomatoida; Corycaeidae.